GGGCUCACUUUGGCCCCACAUAUACUAAAACUGGAACAAUACAGAGGUUAGCAUGGCCCCAUGCGAAGAUGAUAUGCCAACUUAUGAGGCUAUUUUUACUGUU
Molecule: small nuclear RNA, 103 nt
Organism: Panthera pardus (leopard)
Lineage: Eukaryota; Metazoa; Chordata; Mammalia; Carnivora; Felidae
Source: Ensembl